AAACGGAGGAACAUGGACGUGGC
Molecule: non-coding RNA, 23 nt
Filed under: Cricetulus griseus (Chinese hamster)
Lineage: Eukaryota; Metazoa; Chordata; Mammalia; Rodentia; Cricetidae
Source: RNAcentral